AAGUCGUAACAAGGUUUCCGUAGGUGAACCUGCGGAAGGAUCAUUAACACUUUUUUAUAAUUUAAAUUUCUUUCUUUCGUUAAAAAGAGAAAGAAAUUUAUAUUAAAAAACCCCACAAUUUUGGAUGAAUUUAAUUAAUUUAAUUUUUAUUUAUUAUUUAAUUUUUUAUAACUAAAAUAUUUUAGACUAAAAUCUAUUUUAUAUAAAUUUAUUUAUAAUUUAAAAAACAACUCUUAACAACGGAUAUCUUGGCUCUC
Molecule: unclassified non-coding RNA, 257 nt
Filed under: fungal sp.
Lineage: Eukaryota; Fungi
Description: partial internal transcribed spacer region
Rfam family: Eukaryotic small subunit ribosomal RNA (bases 1-46)
Source: RNAcentral